RNAcentral lists this long non-coding RNA (414 nucleotides) under Homo sapiens (human). RNAcentral describes it as "HSALNT0082426". The record is from RNAcentral. Lineage: Eukaryota; Metazoa; Chordata; Mammalia; Primates; Hominidae.
CUGACCUUCACACUCUCCUCACGCUUAGAUUGCACAGUGGUCAAAUGGAUCCUUCGUGAGAGCUCCAGUCUUAAACACGUCACAUAAUCAGAAGGGACUCUCCGUUUCUCCCAUUCCACAGAAUAAGCUCUAAGCUUCUCCAGGGUGGAGGACGGAUCGUUCCAUGGCAUGCAGGAUGGUGUGGAAAUGAGGACCACGGUAGGGGAGCUGUUGACCUGCUUCCUUAACAGCCUGUUUUUCUGUUGCUGCUCGUUUCUGAGGCUCUGUGGGUUUUCUGCUGUAAACCAUGUUGCUUCUCUGCUUUCCCAUCGCCAGCCUUGAUUUAUGCUUGAACUGGUCUCUUAGUCCAUGAUUGCUCAUUUGUUUGCUUUCCACCCCCAUUAUUUUGUUGUUAUUGUUUCCUCUGUUGAUAUU